Molecule: ribosomal RNA, 253 nt
Filed under: uncultured bacterium
Lineage: Bacteria
Description: partial 16S ribosomal RNA
Rfam family: Bacterial small subunit ribosomal RNA
Source: RNAcentral
UACGUAGGGUCCGAGCGUUGUCCGGAAUUACUGGGCGUAAAGGGCGCGUAGGCGGCCUUAUAAGUCAGAUGUGAAAGCUCUGGGCUCAACCCAGGAAUUGCAUCUGAUACUGUAGGGCUUGAGUUCGGUAGAGGAGGGCGGAAUUCCAGGUGUAGCGGUGAAAUGCGUAGAUAUCGUAAGGAAGACCAGUGGCGAAGGCGGGUCUCUGGACAGUUCCUGACGCUGAGGCACGAAGGUCAGGGGAGCAAACGGG